CAGUAUGCCUCAGAACCUCAGUAUGAAAGUCUUCCGUGCUUUGGUCUGUUUCAUCUUUCUUGCAGGACUGCAGGAUGCAGGAUACUCUGGUUUUGUUAAUGCAGAAACUCCCAUCUAUACAGAAAUGGAGGGUGGAAGCAUCACAGUUAAAUGCACAUUUUCUUUAACUGGAAGAAGGAGACUCUUCUGUACGGGAAAAUGUGAAGAAGGAAACAUUCUCAUUGACACAACUGAUGACUCAGCGCAGAAUGGCAGAUACAGCAUUAAAUAUAAAGAAGGAUUUUAUCCAUUACAUAAGACAGUUCUGAAUGUGAGCAUCACACAGCUGAGAAGAUCUGACUCUGGAAUGUACAGAUGCUCUUUGGACAGAAUUUUGCCAUUUGAUUCAAAUGAAGAAUUUGAGAUUGUUGUCACAGACGCUUCAGUGACCUCAAAACCAAAGUCUACUGUGCAACCUUCGCCAGUUUCAACAUUUUUCUCAUCAGCCCCCAUGACAACAGCAACGGUGACAACAUCACCAAAGACCCCAACAUCACAGAGUUUAAAUUCCAUUUCAGGAGGCACCACACCUUCACCAGCCUCCUCUUCAACCUCCAAACAGACACAG
Pundamilia nyererei is the source of this 607-nucleotide long non-coding RNA. RefSeq lists it as uncharacterized. NCBI's taxonomy places the organism in Eukaryota, Metazoa, Chordata, Actinopteri, Cichliformes, Cichlidae. The record is from RefSeq and is a predicted model, not a curated record. The transcript is spliced from 3 exons.